Molecule: ribosomal RNA, 566 nt
Filed under: Cytospora schulzeri
Lineage: Eukaryota; Fungi; Ascomycota; Sordariomycetes; Diaporthales; Cytosporaceae
Also listed under: 1 other name
Description: partial 28S ribosomal RNA
Rfam family: Eukaryotic large subunit ribosomal RNA
Source: RNAcentral
CCCGGCAUGCCUAGUACGGCGAGUGAAGCGGCAACAGCUCAAAUUUGAAAGCUGGCUCCGGCCCGCAUUGUAAUUUGCAGAGGAUGCUUCUGGUGAGGUGCCUUCCGAGUUCCCUGGAACGGGACGCCAUAGAGGGUGAGAGCCCCGUAUGGAUGGACACCAAACCUGUGUGAAGCUCCUUCAACGAGUCGAGUAGUUUGGGAAUGCUGCUCUAAAUGGGAGGUAAAUCUCUUCUAAAGCUAAAUACCGGCCAGAGACCGAUAGCGCACAAGUAGAGUGAUCGAAAGAUGAAAAGCACCUUGAAAAGGGGGUUAAACAGUACGUGAAAUUGUUGAAAGGGAAGCGCUUGUGACCAGACUUGCGCCGGGCAGCUCAUCAGGGGUUCUCCCCUGUGCACUCUGCCCGGCUCAGGCCAGCAUCGGUUCUCGUGGGAGGAUAAGAACGGUAGGAACGUGGCCCCCUUCCGGGGGGGGUGUUAUAGCCUACCGUACGAUACUCCCGUGGGGACCGAGGUUCGCGCUCCGCAAGGAUGCUGGCGUAAUGGUCAUCAGCGACCCGUCUUGACC